GUUGACGGGGGCCCGGCACAAGCGGUGGAGCAUGUGGUUUAAUUCGAUGAUACGGCGAGGAACCUUACCUGGGCUCAAAUGUAUGUUGACGUAUUCUGAAAGGGAUACUUCUUCGGACAAUAUACAAGGUGCCGCAUGGUUGUCGUCAGCUCGUGCCGUGAGGUGUCGGGUUAAGUCCCAUAACGAGCGCAACCCCUACCUUAGUUGCCAUCAGGUAAUGCUGGGGACUCUAAAGGAACUGCCUACGCAAGUAGUGAGGAAGGCGGGGAUGACGUCAAAUCAGCACGGCCCUUACGUCCAGGGCUACACACGUGCUACAAUGGCCGAUACAGAGGGCAGCUACCUGGUGACAGGAUGCAAAUCUCCAAAGUCGGUCUCAGUUCGGAUCGGAGUCUGCAACCCGACUCCGUGAAGUUGGAUUCGCUAGUAAUCGUGAAUCAGAAUGUCACGGUGAAUACGUUCCCGGGCCUU
RNAcentral lists this ribosomal RNA (471 nucleotides) under uncultured Sphingobacteriales bacterium. Its description in RNAcentral is "bacterial SSU rRNA". It matches the Rfam family "Bacterial small subunit ribosomal RNA", at positions 910 to 1382 of the family's 1533-position model. The record is from RNAcentral. Lineage: Bacteria; Pseudomonadati; Bacteroidota; Sphingobacteriia; Sphingobacteriales.